RNAcentral lists this unclassified non-coding RNA (307 nucleotides) under Hevea brasiliensis (rubber tree). The record is from RNAcentral. Lineage: Eukaryota; Viridiplantae; Streptophyta; Magnoliopsida; Malpighiales; Euphorbiaceae.
GCCCAGUUUCAGACACAGAAUUUCAAAAGCUUUAUCAUCCUCAAUCUCAAGUAGUUGAAACUGAUAAAGAUUAGCAGAACAAGCCAUACAGCAAAAUAUCAUACCAAAAUAUCGCACAAAAAGCAGGCAAAUUCACAAAGCCCCACCUAUUUUAAGAGACAUUCAAAAUGCUACACUACAGCUAAUUAACUUCAUUUUGAAGACGCUGACCUCUCCCACCUGCAAAACGACUACCUCCUCGAUGAUGAUAUGGUUUCCUACCACGGCUUGAAGAUGCACCCAAAUUAAAUUGCUGAGGUGAUUGAAC